This is a long non-coding RNA of Hemicordylus capensis (graceful crag lizard), 503 nucleotides long. RefSeq lists it as uncharacterized. Lineage: Eukaryota; Metazoa; Chordata; Lepidosauria; Squamata; Cordylidae. The record is from RefSeq and is a predicted model, not a curated record. The transcript has 3 exons.
CUGGUUCUUAUUAUGGCUGCAGAGAUGAGCACGAGAAAUAUGUGGGCAGCAUCCAGGGAAAGAAGAGAAUAUUAAUAGAUAGCAUAUUCAAAGGCUCAAAGGACUCCACGGCCCUCAAGUAUCUUGGUAAUGCUUACAAGAGGUGUGCAAGGAUGGGCAGAGAUAUCUGAAGGAGGCUGCAGAGUCACAGAAGUAAGGCUACUUGAGUUGUGGACCCAGCCAUGGAAGACCCAGACCUGAACUAGAAGUAUGUAUGGCCAGAUCAAGCAAAACCCAAGGACUUCCUGACAUACUUUCAUCAUUGCCAAUGGUUGAAGUUCUGAACAGCAGACGCUUGGCUGUUUUCUUCCUCCAGCUCCAGGAUUUCUCUUCUGGAUGACCAUAUAUGGUAUUCUCUAGUAGACAAAAACACAUGGAUUUAAAAGCUUGUACUGUACUGUGCAAAUUUUAUGUUGGUCCUAAUAAAGCUAUUGUUUUUCUGUUUCUGCGUAUAAUUGUUCUAA